Molecule: ribosomal RNA, 836 nt
Filed under: Escherichia coli
Lineage: Bacteria; Pseudomonadati; Pseudomonadota; Gammaproteobacteria; Enterobacterales; Enterobacteriaceae
Description: partial 23S ribosomal RNA
Rfam family: Bacterial large subunit ribosomal RNA
Source: RNAcentral
UGUUUCGGCAAGGGGGUCAUCCCGACUUACCAACCCGAUGCAAACUGCGAAUACCGGAGAAUGUUAUCACGGGAGACACACGGCGGGUGCUAACGUCCGUCGUGAAGAGGGAAACAACCCAGACCGCCAGCUAAGGUCCCAAAGUCAUGGUUAAGUGGGAAACGAUGUGGGAAGGCCCAGACAGCCAGGAUGUUGGCUUAGAAGCAGCCAUCAUUUAAAGAAAGCGUAAUAGCUCACUGGUCGAGUCGGCCUGCGCGGAAGAUGUAACGGGGCUAAACCAUGCACCGAAGCUGCGGCAGCGACGCUGAUGCGUUGUUGGGUAGGGGAGCGUUCUGUAAGCCUGUGAAGGUGUGCUGUGAGGCAUGCUGGAGGUAUCAGAAGUGCGAAUGCUGACAUAAGUAACGAUAAAGCGGGUGAAAAGCCCGCUCGCCGGAAGACCAAGGGUUCCUGUCCAACGUUAAUCGGGGCAGGGUGAGUCGACCCCUAAGGCGAGGCCGAAAGGCGUAGUCGAUGGGAAACAGGUUAAUAUUCCUGUACUUGGUGUUACUGCGAAGGGGGGACGGAGAAGGCUAUGUUGGCCGGGCGACGGUUGUCCCGGUUUAAGCGUGUAGGCUGGUUUUCCAGGCAAAUCCGGAAAAUCAAGGCUGAGGCGUGAUGACGAGGCACUACGGUGCUGAAGCAACAAAUGCCCUGCUUCCAGGAAAAGCCUCUAAGCAUCAGGUAACAUCAAAUCGUACCCCAAACCGACACAGGUGGUCAGGUAGAGAAUACCAAGGCGCUUGAGAGAACUCGGGUGAAGGAACUAGGCAAAAUGGUGCCGUAACUUCGGGAGAAGG